RNAcentral lists this unclassified non-coding RNA (1458 nucleotides) under uncultured Venturiales. RNAcentral describes it as "sequence contains 18S rRNA gene, ITS1, 5.8S rRNA gene, ITS2, 28S rRNA gene". The stretch from base 523 to 1458 matches the Rfam family "Eukaryotic large subunit ribosomal RNA", at positions 1 to 961 of the family's 3401-position model. Lineage: Eukaryota; Fungi; Ascomycota; Dothideomycetes. The record is from RNAcentral.
GGAAGGAUCAUUACCGGGUAUCAGGGGCUUCUGCCCCGCUCCCACACCCUCCGCAAACCAGUCCACGAUAUGUUGGCGCAGAGGCGCGCGAUGGGGGAGGCCGCUCGCCUCCCCUGUGUGUGCGCCUGCCAGCCAAAAUUUAAAACUCUGUUUUAACAUUGCAAUCUGAGUAAAGAAUAAAUUAGCGAAAAAACUUUCAACAACGGAUCUCUUGGUUCUGGCAACGAUGAAGAACGCAGCGAAAUGCGAUAAGUAAUGUGAAUUGCAGAAUUCAGUGAAUCAUCGAAUCUUUGAACGCACAUUGCGCCCCUUGGUAUUCCGGGGGGCACACCUGUUCGAGCGCCAUUUCAAACCUCAAGCCUAGCUUGGUGAUGGGCCUCGCCCUCUCUCCUUUGAUCGGGGGGGGCGUGCCCGAAACGUGUAGGGCGCCGUCGGCCGGCUCUGAGCGUAGCAAGAGUAGACCUCCCUCGCUCUGGAGUACCGCCCGGCGGUCGCCUGGAAACCCCAAUUAUUUCACAAGGUUGGCCUCGGAUCAGGUGGGGAUACCCGCUGAACUUAAGCAUAUCAAUAAGCGGAGGAAAAGAAACCAACAGGGAUUGCCUUAGUAACGGCGAGUGAAGCGGCAACAGCUCAAAUUUGAAAUCUGGCGCAAGCCCGAGUUGUAAUUUGUAGAGGAUGCUUCGGGUGAAGCCACGGUCCAAGUCCCUUGGAACAGGACGUCAUAGAGGGUGAGAACCCCGUACCUGGCCGUCGGUGCCCCCCGCUGUGAAGCUCCUUCGACGAGUCGAGUUGUUUGGGAAUGCAGCUCUAAAUUGGUGGUAAAUUCCAUCUAAAGCUAAAUACCGGCCAGAGACCGAUAGCGCACAAGUAGAGUGAUCGAAAGAUGAAAAGCACUUUGAAAAGAGAGUUAAAAAGUACGUGAAAUUGUUGAAAGGGAAGCGCUUGCGGCCAGACUUGCCCGCGGAUGCUCAGCCUGCCUUUUGGCAGGUGCACUCUUCCGUGGUCAAGCCAGCAUCGGUUUGGGCGGUCGGAUAAAGGCGCCGGGAACGUGGCCUCCUUCGGGAGGUGUUAUAGCCCGGCGUGCAAUGCGGCCAGCCUGGACCGAGGAUCGCGCUUUUGCUAGGAUGCUGGCGUAAUGGCCGUAAGCGGCCCGUCUUGAAACACGGACCAAGGAGUCUAACAUCUAUGCGAGUGUUUGGGUGUCAAACCCGUGCGCGUAAUGAAAGUGAACGGAGGUGGGAACCCUUGGGUGCACCAUCGACCGAUCCUGAUGUCUUCGGAAGGAUUUGAGUAAGAGCAUAGCUGUUGGGACCCGAAAGAUGGUGAACUAUGCGUGAAUAGGGUGAAGCCAGAGGAAACUCUGGUGGAGGCUCGCAGCGGUUCUGACGUGCAAAUCGAUCGUCAAAUUUGCGUAUAGGGGCGAAAGACUAAUCGAACCAUCUAGUAGCUGGUUCCUGC